UACGAAGGGGGCUAGCGUUGUUCGGAAUCACUGGGCGUAAAGGGCGCGUAGGCGGCCUGAUAAGUCGGGGGUGAAAGCCUGUGGCUCAACCACAGAAUUGCCUUCGAUACUGCUAGGCUUGAGACCGGAAGAGGUAAGUGGAACUGCGAGUGUAGAGGUGAAAUUCGUAGAUAUUCGCAAGAACACCAGUGGCGAAGGCGGCUUACUGGUCCGGUACUGACGCUGAGGUGCGAAAGCGUGGGGAGCAAACAGG
This 253-nucleotide ribosomal RNA is filed under the name uncultured bacterium. RNAcentral describes it as "partial 16S ribosomal RNA". It matches the Rfam family "Bacterial small subunit ribosomal RNA", at positions 524 to 776 of the family's 1533-position model. The record is from RNAcentral.